UUUAGAUGGGCUGAGAUGGCGUGUGUUUGAUGCAAAGGGUCAGGUGCUUGGACCGUUGGACGGUUGGCAUCUCAGAUAGUUGUUGUGCUUCAAGGAAAGGACAAGCCAACUUAUGCACCACAUGUGGAAUGCCGUACUACAAAAGAUAUCAGUGUUACAGGGAGAAAAAUGGCUGAUCAGAUUUACUACUGCCACACUGGGAAAGGAGGCUUAAGGACCAGAUGGAAAAGGACCCAAAUGAGGUGAUUCACAAAGCUGUGAUGUGCAUGCGUCCCCGUAAUAGGUUGCAUGAUGAUAGGGAUCACAAACUGGGGAUAUUUUCUGGAAGUGAGCAUCCAUUCCAUGAUCGGCCUCUUGAACCUUUUGUGAUGCCACCACAACAAGUGCGCGUGAGACGCGCCUCCCGGGCAAGACGGGCACUUAUUAGGGCUCAGAAGAAAGAGCUGGACAGAGCAGCAUGAGCAACCAAAGAUGACAAGGAUGCAAAGAAUGCCAAAACUGAUGUCACUUCAUAGGCAUCUCCAGAUGUUUUUGGCAUGUAGCCUGCUGAGUUGAAUAGGCACUGGGAGUCCAGAACCAUGUAACCUGGAGAUGAACUGCCCAAUCUGAAUGCCUUUCUAUAUCAUAUACUGCAUACAAUAUCCAAAGUGUGUUGCUCUUUCCUCCAAGGGAGUAAACUUCUUAUCUGAAUUUUUGUUC
Molecule: long non-coding RNA, 699 nt
Organism: Oryza brachyantha (malo sina)
Lineage: Eukaryota; Viridiplantae; Streptophyta; Magnoliopsida; Poales; Poaceae
Exons: 4
Source: RefSeq, a predicted model, not a curated record